RNAcentral lists this transfer RNA (74 nucleotides) under Salmo salar (Atlantic salmon). It matches the Rfam family "tRNA". Rfam says of the family: Transfer RNA (tRNA) molecules are approximately 80 nucleotides in length. Their secondary structure includes four short double-helical elements and three loops (D, anti-codon, and T loops). The record is from Rfam by way of RNAcentral. Lineage: Eukaryota; Metazoa; Chordata; Actinopteri; Salmoniformes; Salmonidae.
UCCCGUGUGGCUCAGUUGGUAGAGCAUGGUGUUUUGCAACACCAGUGGUUGUGGGUUCGAUUCCCACGGGGGAC